AUACCUGCAGCUCAAGUGGUGGCCGCUAUUAUUGGGCCUAAAACGUCCGUAGCCGGUUUAGUAAAUGCUUGGGUAAAUUGUGUAGCUUAACUAUACGAAUACCGGGUAGACUGCUAAACUUGGGACCGGGAGAGGCUAGAGGUACUCCUAGGGUAGAGGUGAAAUUCUGUAAUCCUAGGGGGACCACCAGUGGCGAAGGCGUCUAGCUAGAACAGGUCUGACGGUGAGGGACGAAGCCCUGGGGCGCAAACCGGAUUAGAUACCCGAGUAGUCC
This 274-nucleotide ribosomal RNA is filed under the name uncultured bacterium. Its description in RNAcentral is "partial 16S ribosomal RNA". It matches the Rfam family "Archaeal small subunit ribosomal RNA", at positions 473 to 747 of the family's 1478-position model. The record is from RNAcentral.